This 481-nucleotide ribosomal RNA is filed under the name uncultured organism. RNAcentral describes it as "bacterial SSU rRNA". It matches the Rfam family "Bacterial small subunit ribosomal RNA", at positions 28 to 507 of the family's 1533-position model. The record is from RNAcentral.
GAUGAACGCUGGCGGCGUGCUUAACACAUGCAAGUCGAACGAAGCGCCUUAUUUGAUUUUCUUCGGAACUGAAGAUUUGGUGACUGAGUGGCGGACGGGUGAGUAACGCGUGGGUAACCUGCCCUGUACAGGGGGAUAACAAUCAGAAAUGACUGCUAAUACCGCAUAAGACCACAGCACCGCAUGGUGCAGGGGUAAAAACUCCGGUGGUACAGGAUGGACCCGCGUCUGAUUAGCUGGUUGGUGAGGUAACGGCUCACCAAGGCGACGAUCAGUAGCCGGCUUGAGAGAGUGAACGGCCACAUUGGGACUGAGACACGGCCCAAACUCCUACGGGAGGCAGCAGUGGGGAAUAUUGCACAAUGGGGGGAACCCUGAUGCAGCGACGCCGCGUGAGUGAAGAAGUAUUUCGGUAUGUAAAGCUCUAUCAGCAGGGAAGAAAAUGACGGUACCUGACUAAGAAGCCCCGGCUAACUACGUG